GACGAACGCUGGCGGCGUGCCUAAUACAUGCAAGUCGAACGCAGUGGGGACGGGUGAGUAACACGUGGGUAACCUCCCAUCAGAGGGGAUAACACUUGGAAACAGGUGCUAAACCGAUACUGAUGGAUGGACCCGCGGUGCAUUAGGUAGUUGGUGAGGUAACGGCUCACCAAGGCCACGAUGCAUAGCGGGCCUGAGAGGGGGAUCGGCAACACUGGGAUUGAGAAACGGCCCAGACUCCUACGGGAGGCAGCAGUGGGGAAUCUUGGGCAAUGGACGAAAGCCGGACGGAGCAACGCCGCGUGAGUGAAGAGGGUUUUCGGAUCGUAAAAUUCUGUUGUUGGAGAGGCGGUAUCUAACCAGAAAGCCACGGCUAACUACGUGCCAGCAGCCGCGGUAAUUC
RNAcentral lists this ribosomal RNA (403 nucleotides) under uncultured bacterium. RNAcentral's name for it is "partial 16S ribosomal RNA". It matches the Rfam family "Bacterial small subunit ribosomal RNA", at positions 28 to 526 of the family's 1533-position model. The record is from RNAcentral.